UACAGAGGGGGCAAGCGUUAUUCGGAAUUAUUGGGCGUAAAGGGCGCGUAGGCGGCUUUUCAAGUGACGGGUGAAAUCCCUCGGCUUAACCGAGGAACUGCCUGUCAGACUGGAAGGCUUGAGACCGGGAGAGGUGAGUGGAAUUCCCAGUGUAGCGGUGAAAUGCGUAGAUAUUGGGAGGAACACCGGUGGCGAAGGCGGCUUCCUGGACCGACACUGACGCUGAGGCGCGAAAGCUAGGGGAGCAAACGGG
RNAcentral lists this ribosomal RNA (253 nucleotides) under uncultured bacterium. RNAcentral describes it as "partial 16S ribosomal RNA". It matches the Rfam family "Bacterial small subunit ribosomal RNA", at positions 524 to 776 of the family's 1533-position model. The record is from RNAcentral.